RNAcentral lists this long non-coding RNA (1095 nucleotides) under Homo sapiens (human). RNAcentral's name for it is "long non-coding RNA NONHSAT189223.1". The record is from RNAcentral. Lineage: Eukaryota; Metazoa; Chordata; Mammalia; Primates; Hominidae.
GUUCUGCACUGAGGCCCUCGUCAUGGUGGCGCCUGUGUGGUACUUGGUAGCGGCGGCUCUGCUAGUCGGCUUUAUCCUCUUCCUGACUCGCAGCCGGGGCCGGGCGGCAUCAGCCGGCCAAGAGCCACUGCACAAUGAGGAGCUGGCAGGAGCAGGCCGGGUGGCCCAGCCUGGGCCCCUGGAGCCUGAGGAGCCGAGAGCUGGAGGCAGGCCUCGGCGCCGGAGGGACCUGGGCAGCCGCCUACAGGCCCAGCGUCGAGCCCAGCGGGUGGCCUGGGCAGAAGCAGAUGAGAACGAGGAGGAAGCUGUCAUCCUAGCCCAGGAGGAGGAAGGUGUCGAGAAGCCAGCGGAAACUCACCUGUCGGGGAAAAUUGGAGCUAAGAAACUGCGGAAGCUGGAGGAGAAACAAGCGCGAAAGGCCCAGCGUGAGGCAAGAGGCUGAACGUGAGGAGCGGAAACGACUCGAGUCCCAGCGCGAAGCUGAGUGGAAGAAGGAGGAGGAGCGGCUUCGCCUGGAGGAGGAGCAGAAGGAGGAGGAGGAGAGGAAGGCCCGCGAGGAGCAGGCCCAGCGGGAGCAUGAGGAGUACCUGAAACUGAAGGAGGCCUUUGUGGUGGAGGAGGAAGGCGUAGGAGAGACCAUGACUGAGGAACAGUCCCAGAGCUUCCUGACAGAGUUCAUCAACUACAUCAAGCAGUCCAAGGUUGUGCUCUUGGAAGACCUGGCUUCCCAGGUGGGCCUACGCACUCAGGACACCAUAAAUCGCAUCCAGGACCUGCUGGCUGAGGGGACUAUAACAGGUGUGAUUGACGACCGGGGCAAGUUCAUCUACAUAACCCCAGAGGAACUGGCCGCCGUGGCCAACUUCAUCCGACAGCGGGGCCGGGUGUCCAUCGCCGAGCUUGCCCAAGCCAGCAACUCCCUCAUCGCCUGGGGCCGGGAGUCCCCUGCCCAAGCCCCAGCCUGACCCCAGUCCUUCCCUCUUGGACUCAGAGUUGGUGUGGCCUACCUGGCUAUACAUCUUCAUCCCUCCCCACCAUCCUGGGGAAGUGAUGGUGUGGCCAGGCAGUUAUAGAUUAAAGGCCUGUGAGUACUGC